This 94-nucleotide ribosomal RNA is filed under the name Pseudoselenomonas ruminantium. RNAcentral's name for it is "Selenomonas ruminantium 16S rRNA. Bacterial SSU". It matches the Rfam family "Bacterial small subunit ribosomal RNA", at positions 1 to 89 of the family's 1533-position model. The record is from RNAcentral. Lineage: Bacteria; Bacillati; Bacillota; Negativicutes; Selenomonadales; Selenomonadaceae.
AUUUAUUGGAGAGUUUGAUCCUGGCUCAGGACGAACGCUGGCGGCGUGCUUAACACAUGCAAGUCGAACGAGACGAUUGAAAGCUUGCUUUUGA